This is a non-coding RNA of Pleurotus pulmonarius, 98 nucleotides long. The record is from the annotation of a GenBank genome assembly. Lineage: Eukaryota; Fungi; Basidiomycota; Agaricomycetes; Agaricales; Pleurotaceae.
GAACCUUUGGCGCAGUGGUAGCGCGUGUGAUUCCAGCACAGUCAGCUCUUCCUGUUGGAACAUCCACAAGGUCGUCCGUUCAAUCCGGGCAAGGUUCA